RNAcentral lists this ribosomal RNA (386 nucleotides) under uncultured bacterium. Its description in RNAcentral is "bacterial SSU rRNA". It matches the Rfam family "Bacterial small subunit ribosomal RNA", at positions 29 to 414 of the family's 1533-position model. The record is from RNAcentral.
AUUGAACGCUGGCGGCAUGCUUUACACAUGCAAGUCGAACGGGGGUGAAGGGGGCAACUCUUCAUUCAGUGGCGAACGGGUGAGUAAUGCAUCGGAACGUACCUCGUAGUGGGGGAUAACUCGGCGAAAGCCGUGCUAAUACCGCAUAUGCUCUACGGAGGAAAGCAGGGGACCUGAAAGGGCCUUGUGCUAUGGGAGCGGCCGAUGUCCGAUUAGCUAGUUGGUGGGGAAUGGCCUACCAAGGCGACGAUCGGUAGCUGGUCUGAGAGGAUGAUCAGCCACACUGGGACUGAGACACGGCCCAGACUCCUACGGGAGGCAGCAGUGGGGAAUCUUGCGCAAUGGGCGAAAGCCUGACGCAGCGACGCCGCGGUGGGGGAAGAAGG